This 485-nucleotide ribosomal RNA is filed under the name uncultured bacterium. RNAcentral's name for it is "bacterial SSU rRNA". It matches the Rfam family "Bacterial small subunit ribosomal RNA", at positions 28 to 507 of the family's 1533-position model. The record is from RNAcentral.
GAUGAACGCUAGCGGGAGGCUUAACACAUGCAAGUCGAGGGGCAGCAUAGGGUAGCAAUACUCUGAUGGCGACCGGCAAACGGGUGAGUAACGCGUAUGCAACCUACCCUGUACAGGGGGAUAACCCGGAGAAAUUCGGACUAAUAUCCCGUAAUAAUAUCCGGAGGCAUCUUUGGAUAUUUAAAGUUCCGACGGUACGGGAUGGGCAUGCGUAAAUUAACUGGUUGGUAAGGUAACGGCUUACCAAGGCUAUGAUGUUUAGGGGUCCUGAGAGGGUGGUCCCCCACACUGGUACUGAGACACGGACCAGACUCCUACGGGAGGCAGCAGUGAGGAAUAUUGGUCAAUGGGCGCAAGCCUGAACCAGCAUCCCGCGUGCAGGAAGACGGCCCUAUGGGUUGUAAACUGCUUUUCCAGGGAGAGAAACUUACGCACGUGUUGCGUGACUGACGGUACCCUGGGAAUAAGCAUCGGCUAACUCCGUG